UCCGAUAUGGUGUAGUGGCCAACAUGAUGCCCUCUCAUCUCACUGAGAGGUUAGGCAUAGCCCCGAGUUCGAUUCUCGGUUUCGGAA
Molecule: transfer RNA, 87 nt
Filed under: Colletotrichum orbiculare MAFF 240422
Lineage: Eukaryota; Fungi; Ascomycota; Sordariomycetes; Glomerellales; Glomerellaceae
Description: tRNA-Glu for anticodon CUC
Rfam family: tRNA
About the family: Transfer RNA (tRNA) molecules are approximately 80 nucleotides in length.
Source: Rfam by way of RNAcentral